This 2215-nucleotide long non-coding RNA is filed under the name Canis lupus familiaris (dog). RNAcentral's name for it is "lncRNA (ENSCAFG00000057046.1)". The record is from RNAcentral. Lineage: Eukaryota; Metazoa; Chordata; Mammalia; Carnivora; Canidae.
GCGGUUUAGCGCCUGCCUUUGGCCCAGGGCGCGAUCCUGGCGUCCUCAGAAUUGAGUCCCACGUCAGGCUCCCUGCAUGGAGCCUGCUUUUCCCUCCUCCUGUGUCUCUGCCUCUCUCUCUCUCUCUCUCUCUCUCUCUCUAUCAUAAAUAAAUAAAUAAAUCUUAAAAAAUUAUAGAAAGUUCAUUUUGAUGUUUAUCAAUUAAUCUGCAGAUAGUCACACAAAUUGACAGUAAAAUGCUUCUAUUUGGAAGAUUAUAGAAUAAGUUGAUAGCUUUCUAAAUAGAGGACUUUUCAACAAUAAGUUUAUAAUUUUAAAAAUCUGAUCAAUUUGACUUUAACUUUUAUAAUUAAACAGGCUCUACUGAUCGGGGGAAGAAGUCUUAUGAUGUGAACAUGGUGGACACUAACAUCAAAGCAUCACAGAUGAACAUUGAUUCAUGUUUUACAUGUUCACUGAUGGUUAUACCAUGAGUUCACAGUGUAUACGUUUUCUUUCUCUUUUGACAGGACAAUAUACUUAUUUGCUACUUCUGGGUAGCUUUUUCCGUGAGGUUUUUAAUAAGUAGAGAAAUUAUAUUAAAAAUGUCCACCAUGUGUAUAAUUUAUAGCAAUGUUUGGUCUAAUGGUCAUUACUUAUGGUUUAAUUUUUUGUCUAUCAGAUAAUUCUCUUGUAAGUAGUUAUUUUCUAAAAUGUUCCUAGGUUUCUACUUGAAAGCCAAUGCUGUUCUUUUUAUUUUUCAUUUAGGAGAAGUAAUGUUUAUUAACAUUUUUGGACUUUUGGUAAUUUCCAAAAGCCAACGUGAUACAUUCUAUCUCUUUUCUUACUGCUAUCCUGUACAUUGUUGUGAGGUUAACUUCGCAUACUACUUUUAUAUGUCACUCCUAUACCCCAAUGCCUUUGGUGGCUCUUAGUUGCUCACCACCUUGCUGGCUGUUCAGCCAUCCUCCCAGAGGGAGGAGGAUCCCCCCCUCUCUGGUACCCUACUUUCGUUCCUGUGUUCCCUGUUGAGUUGCUCUUCUCCCUCUCCUCUCACCUCUUUGCUUACACUAUUCUCAUCCUUUUCAUAUCAUGUCCAUCUCUUGAAAGACUGCCUGCCCCUUGAAGACUGCUUCCAUCUUUUAUUGAUAGUGGCUACUUAGCUCUUAGAAAGACUUUCCAUCAAGAUUAUAACUGGUUAGUAUAAUUAGCUUAAAACAGUGACCUCGCCCACCUCUGGCAGUUUUUAUCAUCCUCUUCUUUUAAUUUUUUUUCUAAAAUACAUAUCUUCUAAUGUAUUACAUAUUUAUUUAUUGUGUUUACUGUCUCCCUUUAUUCAAAUGAAAGCCUCCAUAAAGGUAUGUAUUGGUUUGGGUUGUUUUGGUUGAUUUGGUUCACUACUGUAUCGACAUCACCUGAGUACCUGGCACGUGAUAAGCACUCCAAAAAUAUUUGUUAAAUGAAUAAAUAGAAAUCAUUCAAUGAAUGUUAUUUUAUCUUUCUUCUUAUAUCUAAGAUUGUAAAAUGUUUUGUAUAUGAUAUACAAUUAAAUGUAUGUUAGUUGUUACAAUUAAAUUUUGAAUUAGUUUGACAAAAAUUCCAGUAUCACUUUAAUUGAUUAUCUCCCAAAUUUUUAUUACUGUUAAAAUGAUUUUAAAUUGUAAGCUUUUAGUUUCAAUAAAACUUAUGCUAUAGCCAAAAUUUUAUUGCUUUAUAGUCACCAUGUUGAUUUAGAAUGGGAGUGAAAACUCAUUAUUAUAAGUUAUAUCUAAGUAAUAAUGAGUAAUUUAUAAGACUUCCUUCUUAUAAUAACUCUCUGUGAGUAGAUUAUGGCAGAUUAUCCCUAUGUAAUAGAUUACCAAACUAUAUGCUUUUAUCAUUGAAAUAUGUCAGAAAGUUUUCCAUAAAAAAUACUACAAGUGUGAUUGCUACAUAUAUAGAGUGGGAAAUUUAUAAAUGAGGAUAUAAUAAAUGAUUGCCAUUAUAUGGCAUUGUAGAGAAUUGUUGCAGUUAAGGAAAAGUAUUUUAUCAUUAAAGUUUAUUUUUAACAGUUUGUGAAAUAUAUAAUAUAAUUAAAUUGACAAAAGAAGGCUGAGUUAUUAAACAAUGAUGAAAAAUUGUACAGUAUCCUAGAGGAGAGAUAAAAAUAUAAGUCUGAAAAAUAGAAGAACCAAAUCAAUGGUAUGUAAAAACAAAUCCAUAUCUGACAGUCAUUUAAAGUACUUAGAAAAUAGAA